This 489-nucleotide ribosomal RNA is filed under the name uncultured bacterium. RNAcentral describes it as "partial 16S ribosomal RNA". It matches the Rfam family "Bacterial small subunit ribosomal RNA", at positions 30 to 507 of the family's 1533-position model. The record is from RNAcentral.
AUUGAACGCUGGCGGCAGGCUUAACACAUGCAAGUCGAACGGUAGCAGGAGAAAGCUUGCUUUCUUGCUGACGAGUGGCGGACGGGUGAGUAAUGCUUGGGAAUCUUGCUUAUGGAGGGGGAUAACUACGGGAAACUGUAGCUAAUACCGCGUAAUAUCUUCGGCUUAAAGAAUGGGACUUUUAGCCAUUCGCCAUCAGAUGAGCCCAAGUGGGAUUAGGUAGUUGGUGGGGUAAAGGCCUACCAAGCCGACGAUCUCUAGCUGGUCUGAGAGGAUGACCGGCCACACUGGAACUGAGACACGGUCCAGACUCCUACGGGAGGCAGCAGUGGGGAAUAUUGCGCAAUGGGGGCAACCCUGACGCAGCCAUGCCGCGUGAAUGAAGAAGGCCUUCGGGUUGUAAAGUUCUUUCGGUGGUGAGGAAGGCUAAUAUGUUAAUAGCAUAUUAGAUUGACGUUAGCCACAGAAGAAGCACCGGCUAACUCCGUG